CCGCACCCCUGAACGCUUGGCAGGCAGCGGGUGUGCAUGCUCUGUCUUCCUUAGCAUCAUUAAGUUUUAUGCUUGCUGGACGAAUGAUCUCCUAAAAGAGCUUAGUAUGGCACCAGUGACCACUGUGGUCUCUUUUUAAAAGAUGAUUCAUGCAUUAUAUCUAGACUUUUCCCAUCUUUUCUCCUCCUACAGAGACAGGAAAACUAAGAAGUCUUGGAAAUGGCCAUGGAGCUCAUAUUUAACUUGCAAAAAGCCGUGUGCAGAUUCUCUACCUAUAAAAUGGCCUGGAUAUAAUCUACUUCAGAAGACUGGUCACAGGCAUAAUCAAGUGAUGUCUGCAAAAUGCUUUCUGAUCCAUACAUUUUUUUUUCUUACAAGAUGAUUCUCUUCUGAAGUGAAGUUCCUGAAAACAGCUCACAGGUUCCUAUGCAGAGAACUCACCAGUUUGUCAUUAUUAUUUUCACCAGGCAGGGAGGAGAAUUAGCCUAAUUUUACAGUGUUCAGUGAGUCAAAAACACUUAGAGGUCACCUUUGGGUAUGGAAGCCUAAACAACAUGGUUCUGCCAGACCAAGGGGCUUAAAAACUAAGAAGAUUUUACAGACUUUGAUAUUAUUGCUUCUAUUUUCUGCUUCCUUUAGCAUCUUCUUGGAAGAUGGGAAUCCAGACUUUUUUUUACUUUUAUUAAAUCAAGAUCUUAAUCAGCAAGACAGAAGAAUGGGGCCACAUGUUGGCUGCCAGACAAUGUAGUAAGAUGUUUUCAGUGGCAGCAUAAUUUAUUUUAUUUUAAAUUACAGAGACAAAAAUAUCACAUUGAUAUUCUGUCUGCAGUGGGGCUUGUUAUUUCUGCACUGAACUGGAACGAACCUAAGUAGAGAAAUUUAAUCAAAUCUGAUAUUCCUGGUUUGCUCCCCACUGGCUCCGGGGGUUUGUAAYGUAGAAGAUGAGGCAGUACAGACCUGCUCUCAUGCUGUAACAGCUCUCCUUGGACUGGCUUCUGACGCUCCUCUGACAGGCAGGACAGUCAUUAUAUCCAAACCUAGAGGAACUGAUGAGGCAAGUUAAAUGGAGAUGCUAAGCUUUUCCCUGACCUGUCCUUUCCCUGGUAGGCUAAGCUCCGAGAGCAGCCUGGUUAUUUCAUUCUGGGGACAUUCCCCAAGUCACUCUCCCACACAGGAAAUACAUUUUCUUUCUUCCCUGUAUUUGAGUGCUGCUGUUCCCACAGUCUGCUAGCUAACCCAACUGACUUAUUAAUGAUUCACUGGCAAAAAACAAUCAAGCAAACAGUUUCACUGGCACUGGUGAUAAGACUGCCUUGUGUUUAGCUCCGGUUCUAAAGUCAGCCAAAUCAAAACCUCUGCAAACCAGGAAGGGAAGAGGCUAG
RNAcentral lists this long non-coding RNA (1382 nucleotides) under Dromaius novaehollandiae (emu). RNAcentral describes it as "lncRNA (ENSDNVG00000015546.1)". Lineage: Eukaryota; Metazoa; Chordata; Aves; Casuariiformes; Dromaiidae. The record is from RNAcentral.